GUUAUCAGCAUGGAAGAACACAGGGAUGAUUCUCUUCACCUUGCUGAGGCAUCUUCUAGGGAACAUACUUCAGACAACCAGACUAGUGAGACAUUGACAUAACAGGAGGCCACACGUACUCACUGAAUGCUGGAAUUACAGGAAUUUUUAGAAGGAGAGAUUCAAUAGCGAAGGCUUCAUGGAAGACAUGGCAAUUCCAUGUCCAGUUUAAGCAACUCUGACAGUAGCAACUUCACUCUGAUUUUCAUGCCUGGGACCCAGCACAGUCCACUCAACCUGUGCUCAUUAGGCUUCAGCAAUAUGUGAACCGUGAACUUCCUGAUGUUCAAGCUGGUUUUAGAAAAGGCAGAGGAACCAGAGAUCAAAUUGCCAACAUCUGCUGGAUCAUCGAAAAAGCAAAAGAGUUCCAGAAAAACAUCAAUUUCUGCUUUAUUGACUAUGCCAAAGCCUUUGACUGUGUGGAUCACAAUAAACUGUGGAAAAUUCUGAAAGAGACAGGAAUACCAGACCACCUGACC
Molecule: long non-coding RNA, 518 nt
Organism: Bos taurus (domestic cattle)
Lineage: Eukaryota; Metazoa; Chordata; Mammalia; Artiodactyla; Bovidae
Source: Ensembl